UACGAAGGGGGCUAACGUUGCUCGGAAUCACUGGGCGUAAAGGGCGUGUAGGCGGGAAGGAUAGUCAGAUGUGAAAGCCCUGGGCUCAACCCAGGAACUGCAUUUGAAACUCCCUUUCUUGAGUGUCGGAGAGGAAAGCGGAAUUCCUGGUGUAGAGGUGAAAUUCGUAGAUAUCUGGAGGAACACCGGUGGCGAAGGCGGCAUCCUGGACCAUGACUGACACUGAAAAGCGAAAGCCAGGGGAGCAAACGGG
This 253-nucleotide ribosomal RNA is filed under the name uncultured bacterium. Its description in RNAcentral is "partial 16S ribosomal RNA". It matches the Rfam family "Bacterial small subunit ribosomal RNA", at positions 524 to 776 of the family's 1533-position model. The record is from RNAcentral.